CCUACGGGGGGCAGCAGUGAGGAAUAUUGGUCAAUGGAGGCAACUCUGAACCAGCCACGUCGCGUGAAGGAAGACGGCCCUACGGGUUGUAAACUUCUUUUGCAAGGGAAUAAAGUGAGUCACGUGUGACUUUUUGCAUGUACCUUGCGAAUAAGGAUCGGCUAACUCCGUGCCAGCAGCCGCGGUAAUACGGAGGAUCCGAGCGUUAUCCGGAUUUAUUGGGUUUAAAGGGUGCGCAGGCGGGAGAUUAAGUCGGUGGUGAAAUUUUGCGGCUCAACCGUAACAGUGCCAUUGAUACUGGUUUCCUUGAGUGUGGAUGAAGUAGGCGGAAUUUGUGGUGUAGCGGUGAAAUGCAUAGAUAUCACGAGGAACUCCGAUCGCGUAGGCAGCUUACUAAACCAUAACUGACGCUCAUGCACGAAGGCGUGGGGAUCAAACAGGAUUAGAUACCCCUGUAGUC
This 460-nucleotide ribosomal RNA is filed under the name uncultured Proteiniphilum sp. Its description in RNAcentral is "bacterial SSU rRNA". It matches the Rfam family "Bacterial small subunit ribosomal RNA", at positions 338 to 795 of the family's 1533-position model. The record is from RNAcentral. Lineage: Bacteria; Pseudomonadati; Bacteroidota; Bacteroidia; Bacteroidales; Dysgonomonadaceae.